RNAcentral lists this ribosomal RNA (309 nucleotides) under uncultured bacterium. Its description in RNAcentral is "partial 16S ribosomal RNA". It matches the Rfam family "Bacterial small subunit ribosomal RNA", at positions 504 to 807 of the family's 1533-position model. The record is from RNAcentral.
AGAGACAGCAGCAGCCGCGGUAAUACGUAGGGUGCAAGCGUUAAUCGGAAUUACUGGGCGUAAAGCGUGCGCAGGCGGUUAUAUAAGACAGAUGUGAAAUCCCCGGGCUCAACCUGGGAACUGCAUUUGUGACUGUAUAGCUAGAGUACGGCAGAGGGGGAUGGAAUUCCGCGUGUAGCAGUGAAAUGCGUAGAUAUGCGGAGGAACACCGAUGGCGAAGGCGGCCCCCUGGACAAAGACUGACGCUCAGGUGCGAAAGCGUGGGGAGCAAACAGGAUUAGAUACCCCUGUAGUCCCUGUCUCUUAUAC